UAAAAUUUAUAAAAUUAGGUAGUAAAGAAUUUUCUGAAACCUAAAGAAUUUGGCGGUAUUUUAAAUAAUUGGAGGAACCUGUUAUUUAAUUGACAACCCACAACAAAUCUUACCUAAAUUUUAUUUGUAUAUCGUCGUUUUUGAUAAUAUUUAAAAAUUAUGAUCAAUAAAAAUAAAUUUUUUAAAAUCAGAUCAAGGUGCAGUAUAUUUAGGGUAUAAUGGGUUACAAUAUAAUUAUAUAUAACGGAUUUAAAAUUGAAAUCAUACUGAAGGUGGAUUCAAAAGUAAUAUUAAAUUAAAAUGUUAAUUUGGUUAAAAAUUUAGAAUAUGC
RNAcentral lists this ribosomal RNA (331 nucleotides) under Chihuahuanus coahuilae. RNAcentral's name for it is "partial 12S ribosomal RNA". Lineage: Eukaryota; Metazoa; Arthropoda; Arachnida; Scorpiones; Vaejovidae. The record is from RNAcentral.